GACGAACCGUACGAACGUUAUUCGGAAUUACUGGGCUUAAAGGGUGCGUAGGCUGCGCGGAAAGUUGGGUGUGAAAUCCCUCGGCUCAACCGAGGAACUGCGCCCAAAACUACCGUGCUCGAGGGAGACAGAGGUGAGCGGAACUUAGGGUGGAGCGGUGAAAUGCGUUGAUAUCCUAAGGAACACCCGUGGCGAAAGCGGCUCACUGGGUCUCUUCUGACGCUGAGGCACGAAAGCGAGGGUAGCGAACGGG
RNAcentral lists this ribosomal RNA (253 nucleotides) under uncultured bacterium. RNAcentral's name for it is "partial 16S ribosomal RNA". It matches the Rfam family "Bacterial small subunit ribosomal RNA", at positions 524 to 776 of the family's 1533-position model. The record is from RNAcentral.